RNAcentral lists this ribosomal RNA (630 nucleotides) under uncultured Campylobacterota bacterium. RNAcentral describes it as "bacterial SSU rRNA". It matches the Rfam family "Bacterial small subunit ribosomal RNA", at positions 74 to 724 of the family's 1533-position model. Lineage: Bacteria; Pseudomonadati; Campylobacterota. The record is from RNAcentral.
GAGAGCUUGCUCUCCUGAUUAGUGGCGCACGGGUGAGUAUACCAUAGAUAAUGUACCUCUUAGUUCGGGAUAGCCACUGGAAACGGUGAUUAAUACCGGAUACUCCUUCUUGUCUCAAGGCAAGUCGGGAAAGUUUUUUCGCUAAGAGAUCAGUCUAUGUCCUAUCAGCUAGUUGGUGAGGUAAUGGCUCACCAAGGCUAUGACGGGUAUCUGGUUUGAGAGGAUGAUCAGACACACUGGAACUGAGACACGGUCCAGACUCCUACGGGAGGCAGCAGUGAGGAAUAUUGCACAAUGGAGGAAACUCUGAUGCAGCAACGCCGCGUGGAGGAUGACGCAUUUCGGUGUGUAAACUCCUUUUAAGAGGGAAGAUAAUGACGGUACCUCUUGAAUAAGCACCGGCUAACUCCGUGCCAGCAGCCGCGGUAAUACGGAGGGUGCAAGCGUUACUCGGAAUCACUGGGCGUAAAGGGUGCGUAGGCUGGCUUUUAAGUCAGAUGUGAAAUCCAAUGGCUUAACCAUUGAACUGCAUUUGAAACUGGGAGCCUAGAGUUCAGAAGGGGCAGAUGGAAUUAGUGGUGUAGGGGUAAAAUCCGUAGAUAUCACUAGGAAUAUCAAAAGCGAAGGCGA